AAAUUGAAGAGUUUGAUCAUGGCUCAGAUUGAACGCUGGCGGCAGGCCUAACACAUGCAAGUCGAGCGGUAGCACAGAGAGCUUGCUCUCGGGUGACGAGCGGCGGACGGGUGAGUAAUGUCUGGGAAACUGCCUGAUGGAGGGGGAUAACUACUGGAAACGGUAGCUAAUACCGCAUAAUGUCGCAAGACCAAAGUGGGGGACCUUCGGGCCUCAUGCCAUCAGAUGUGCCCAGAUGGGAUUAGCUAGUAGGUGGGGUAACGGCUCACCUAGGCGACGAUCCCUAGCUGGUCUGAGAGGAUGACCAGCCACACUGGAACUGAGACACGGUCCAGACUCCUACGGGAGGCAGCAGUGGGGAAUAUUGCACAAUGGGCGCAAGCCUGAUGCAGCCAUGCCGCGUGUGUGAAGAAGGCCUUCGGGUUGUAAAGCACUUUCAGCGGGGAGGAAGGCGUUAAGGUUAAUAACCUCAUCGAUUGACGUUACCCGCAGAAGAAGCACCGGCUAACUCCGUGCCAGCAGCCGCGGUAAUACGGAGGGUGCAAGCGUUAAUCGGAAUUACUGGGCGUAAAGCGCACGCAGGCGGUCUGUCAAGUCGGAUGUGAAAUCCCCGGGCUCAACCUGGGAACUGCAUUCGAAACUGGCAGGCUAGAGUCUUGUAGAGGGGGGUAGAAUUCCAGGUGUAGCGGUGAAAUGCGUAGAGAUCUGGAGGAAUACCGGUGGCGAAGGCGGCCCCCUGGACAAAGACUGACGCUCAGGUGCGAAAGCGUGGGGAGCAAACAGGAUUAGAUACCCUGGUAGUCCACGCCGUAAACGAUGUCGAUUUGGAGGUUGUGCCCUUGAGGCGUGGCUUCCGGAGCUAACGCGUUAAAUCGACCGCCUGGGGAGUACGGCCGCAAGGUUAAAACUCAAAUGAAUUGACGGGGGCCCGCACAAGCGGUGGAGCAUGUGGUUUAAUUCGAUGCAACGCGAAGAACCUUACCUGGUCUUGACAUCCACAGAACUUUCCAGAGAUGGAUUGGUGCCUUCGGGAACUGUGAGACAGGUGCUGCAUGGCUGUCGUCAGCUCGUGUUGUGAAAUGUUGGGUUAAGUCCCGCAACGAGCGCAACCCUUAUCCUUUGUUGCCAGCGGUUAGGCCGGGAACUCAAAGGAGACUGCCAGUGAUAAACUGGAGGAAGGUGGGGAUGACGUCAAGUCAUCAUGGCCCUUACGACCAGGGCUACACACGUGCUACAAUGGCAUAUACAAAGAGAAGCGACCUCGCGAGAGCAAGCGGACCUCAUAAAGUAUGUCGUAGUCCGGAUUGGAGUCUGCAACUCGACUCCAUGAAGUCGGAAUCGCUAGUAAUCGUAGAUCAGAAUGCUACGGUGAAUACGUUCCCGGGCCUUGUACACACCGCCCGUCACACCAUGGGAGUGGGUUGCAAAAGAAGUAGGUAGCUUAACCUUCGGGAGGGCGCUUACCACUUUGUGAUUCAUGACUGGGGUGAAGUCGUAACAAGGUAACCGUAGGGGAACCUGCGGUUGGAUCACCUCCUUA
RNAcentral lists this ribosomal RNA (1540 nucleotides) under Klebsiella pneumoniae. Its description in RNAcentral is "bacterial SSU rRNA". It matches the Rfam family "Bacterial small subunit ribosomal RNA". Lineage: Bacteria; Pseudomonadati; Pseudomonadota; Gammaproteobacteria; Enterobacterales; Enterobacteriaceae. RNAcentral also lists the same sequence under 1 other name. The record is from RNAcentral.